RNAcentral lists this long non-coding RNA (5785 nucleotides) under Equus caballus (horse). Its description in RNAcentral is "lncRNA (ENSECAG00000059213.1)". The record is from RNAcentral. Lineage: Eukaryota; Metazoa; Chordata; Mammalia; Perissodactyla; Equidae.
CACCAUGGCAACCAUUGGAUGAAGACCUCGUCUCCAGAGGACUCCUGUUAACACCAGACGUAUAAUGGGAGUGACACAGUGAUCUGCUGGCACUCUUGAAGACAUCAGCUUGGUCAAGAAUGUUGGCAGAGGCGCCUCAAGAAACACCUGCCUUCCACUCAUGAGCUGAAAUGUCAUUGCUGAAAGCGAGGCAGAUGAGUGGAAGUGGAAAGACCUGGGGCUGUGGGCGUCCUCGUGACCAGCCUGGCAAGGCCCACGCCUGCCCCAUGGAGACUCUGGGGCAGCCUUUGCAGAAGCAAACACUAUCAUCAGGUUUGCAUGAGUUCUGCUCCCUUGUUUUCUCUGCCUCUCGACUACCCACUUUAUUUCAGCCCUGCGGUGAAUUAUAUGUUUGGAGCAGAAGUAGGGGAGAACUCAGCCCCUUAGGAGUCAUGAGACUGUAAGAGGAUGCAUACUGCAGGGUACUUUUUCAGCUGAGAAACAGAAAACAUGGUCUGCUUUUUAAAUCUUACAAACAUACAGGUAAAGUCAACACGUACUUGUUGAUGUGGGGCUUUUGUAACCCAGCAACGUGUAGCAGCAAUCUGCCAGGAUACGCUGAAGCCCCAAUCCUGGGGAGCCACGCGCCAGCCAAGCGAAGAGCGGCUCCCUCUCCACGUCUCGACGUUAAUUCCUCCUUGGUGACACCUGCUUGGUAGAGUAAGGAAAAGGCCUGGAUUUUGCUAAUUUUAUUGUUUCUUAGUUACUAAACAGAAUGAGAUGUAGUCUCUGAAUAAGGGCCUGCCCCGGCUUUGCAGGAACUACAUGUGAAACCCAGGGCCCUGUGCUAAAAAAUGUCCAGCUUGUUUCUCAUCAAGUCACCUUACCUAUCUCAGCACCUGCACAGGCAACGGGACUGCCUGGACAUGCCCACCACUGUUAGGUCAGGUGUCCCUGAAAAGCUCCAUCAAAACACUUUGAAAGAGUGAACACAGCUUCCAAAACUCACACGCCGUUAUGAGCCAUGAGAGAAACUGCUUCCGUUUGACUAACGAGCAACGGCCCGUGCUCUUUUUGUUCCCAUUGCCAACAUUUGCCCCACCUGAGGGACUAGAAAAAGCUGCUCUUCCAUGGAAGGGAAGGAGGUAGUCCCAGGAAACCUAUCCCUGAGGCCCAUGAGGCUGAUGGGACCACGCUGUGCCCCGGACUGGACAAGAGGUGUCCAGGGCUCUGGGCAUGGCCAGGCGUUCAGGCAAUUGCAUCUUUGGCCCAGGGAAGGCCCUUCGUCUCAUUCCCCAGAGGUACUUCUCCUCACCUAGAAAGCAAGGUGGCAUGACCAGCACUGAUACGCCUCCCAGUGUUGGAAGGACAAGGUAAGAUCAAGUCUGUGCAAAGAGUUCUGAAAACAACCAAAAGGUUCUCCACAGAAUCCAAGAUGUUCAUAUGGUCAGGCACCUGGGCCUCCUCCAAGAAAGCAGCCUAGCCAUCUGGGCCUCCCCAUGUGCCCAGUGCAGGUUAUAGAGCCCUAAACAGUUUACACACCUCAAAUAUUCAGUCAAUAUCACUGUGAUAAGCUCAGGGAAGAGCAUCUUCCUUUAUUCUCUCCCAAAGGAGAUGUGUAAGAAAUAAUGAUAUAAGAUUAUUAUAGUCACAAGCUUCCUCAAAUUAACAGUUUAGCCAACAUUUAUUAAGAAGUGACAAGAUGUAAGACCAUGCGGAGGAAUCCAGGAUAAAGGUGGCUUUCACUAUAUUUAUUUGUUCAUUCUUCCCUUUAUUCAGUCAAUAAGCAUCUAUUUAGUACCUACUGUCAAGUGCUAUGCCAAGUUCUGGGGUUUUGCAUACUAUGAUAUAAAAAUACAUGCACAUGCUAAAUGGUUUGAUGGGUGAACAAAGUACCAAGGGAGUGUAGGGAAGGGAAAGUUAAUCCCGACUUAGGAAAUCAGAGAAAGCUUCUUGGGGGAGACACACUUGAGCUGUCUUAACUGAUGGCUGAACUUUUAGCACUUAAAGAUGGAGAAAAGUUGCUCAGAGGGAGAUGUGAAUACCAGCAAUGAGUCAGGAGGAUCCCUGGUGGCUCCACGGAGGCUGAGUGCCUGUCUUCGUGUAGUAGGAGCAAAGACAAGAGCUGGUCCCUGCUCAGAGUUGUCGGUCGGCCCCAGUUCCUCAUCCUCUAGCCCCAUGACUGGACUCUCCAUCUUUCCCAAGAUUCAGCUUUGCCUCAGUUCCCACCACAAGCAAGAGGUGAAGAAGGGAAUUCUUAACCCCAAUCAUUACCCCUGCCCUCAGCUCAUCAUACCCCUGCCAUCAUCUGGGGGACCUGGGACACAGUGCCCCUCUCUCUGGGGCCUCACUGUGGGCUCCGAUCUGAUUUUGCAUCAAUACCAACCUAGGACACUGAGGAGCCCCUUGGCUCCCUGGGCUCCCUCAGCUCAUCGCCCAGCUCUCUCCUCGCUCCUGCCCUGGGCCUGCCUGGGCCCACUUCCCUCCUCCCUCUCCCUGUCCCUUUGGGUGUGUCACAGUGGAACAGGUGUAAGACCACUCAUGCCUCUCCUUAGAGCUGAAUCCUGGGCAGUAUCCUGUUAAUGAGUAUCAGUUUCUUUCCUGCCUUUUGCCAAAUGCCCCCACAAGGGGCAGGUAGGGGAAAAGCCCUCUGCUCACCACAGUGCCAUGCUGAAUUCCUGAUCCCGGACUGCAGAACACCUUAAAUACAAUACUAAGGAGCCAUUGAAGGGAUCUGGGCUGGGCAGCUGUACUUUCUGAAGGUGACUUUGCAGUCCAGGGCAGAUGGAUCUGGAUCGAGGAAGGAGAGGGCUGGCAGCGGUGAAGUCUGGAGGCCACUGCAUUGUCCAAGGGAGACACAGUGAAGAUCUGAACUCUGGGAAAGCCAAAUAGAAUGGAAAGAAAUGAAGACAUGUGAAAGCAGCAGCCAGGGAGACUCACUAGGAAUUGCCCAUGGCCUGCGAUUGGCAGGUUAGGGUGAGGCAAGAGUUACAGAUCAUGCUGAGGUUUUGAGGCUGGGUGACUGCAAGGAUGUCUGUGCUGUUGAUUGAGUAAAGAAAGACAGAGAAGGAGGAAUUCUUGAGUGUGAGUUGGAGGAGGUUGCUGAGGAGGCAGGCAGGUUUACCUGGGGAUCAGCAGAGUUAGAGCAAUUCUCUGCUACAGCUAUAGAAGAAGGCCAGCCUGGGCCCUCAGUUCACAGCACGAGCACACGUCAAGGCACAGGCUGGGGAGGGAGGAAUGGGGGAGGCCAGAGUCGCAGGUCUUCGGAAGUGGCAAUGGAAUGUCCUGUCGCUGGCCCAGCAGGCCCUUCCCUCUGCCCACCACCCAUGGGAGAAACUCACAAGAAAGUCCCGGUGUCAGUAAAGGGUGCUCCAACGGGCUGUGUUCUCAGACUAAAGUCAUCACAGAUACUUGUCCUGUGUGUAGGCAAAUUCAGCACUCUGGGAUUUUCCUCUGUACUCCAGUGUGAAACUACAACUUUAGAGAAUGAAAUCUCUUUCAGGGAGACUCUUUGGAAAAAUAAUGAAUUAUCACAUGGGUUUUUCCACAUGGCAUGAAGACCAAAACUCAUCAGCAAAUCCUAAAGGGAGACAGGUUAGAGGCAGAUAAAAUACUGAGUUUGGCCAAAAGUGGAUUAGACAUGAUAGGAGUUCCUAUUUCUUUCCAGUGGCUUGUUAUUACCCACAGCAUUUGUCUCCACCCACCUCAGAUAACAAUGUGGAUCAUCUUAACUUCCUGCUCCCUGGUGUGAGUAGAUUGCCUGAGGGAGAUCGAAGGAGCGCGCUUGCUUUUCUGUCUUAAACACAGACAGACAGGGAAAGGCUCAGGGCAGAACCGAAGUUAGAGGAGGCGGAACUUUCUCCCCACUCCUCUGGAAACAGCUGCUCCUGCCUGGCCCUCAGGACUGCUCGCUUUCAUCAGUUGCCAGCCCCUGGGCAGUCUGCCCUAUGGCCCCAGUUUCCUUGGUGUGGCCUCUGUCCUCCUUGUGUUCCCACCAUGGUCCAUACCCGUUGUACUAGUCAGCUAGGGCUGCCGGAACAAAGCACCACAGACUGGGUGGCUUAGACAGCAAAAAUCGAUUGUCUCACAAUUCUGGAGGACAGAAGUCCCAGACCAAGGUGUCAACAGUUUGGCUUCUCCUGGGGGCUGUGAGGGAAGGAGCUGUCCUGGCCUCUCUCCCAGCUUCUGGUGGUUUGCUGGCAAUCUUUGGUGCUCCUUGGCUUAUGGAAGCAUCACUCCAACCUCUGCUUCAUAUUCACAUGGGGUUCUCCCUACGUGCAUGCCUGUGUUCAAUUUUCUCCUUUUUGGAAGGACACCAGUCACUUUGGAUUGGGGGCCCAUUCCACUCCAGUAUGAUCUCAUCUUAACAAAUUAGAUCUACAAUGACCCUAUUUCCAAUUAAGGUCACAUUCUGAGGUACUGCAGGUUAGGACUGGAACAUAUGAAUUUGGGGGGGGACACAAUUCAACCCAUAACAUCCUUCCUCCCUUUCUUUCCAAACCUUUUCACUAAGCCCUCAUUCCCAGCAGGAAAAAACGGCUGCUCGCAGCCACAGUGCUCCCCUCCCAGGAUUUGCACCAUAAAGGAGGAUCAGAACCUUCUGCUACUAGAGGAAGCUUUCAGUUGCAAACUUGGGCACCUGUUGGGCUUAUGUGAGCUUCGAGGCAUGCACCAGGUCGCUGCAUACUGUCCUUGUGGGCCCACUGUGCUCAGACCCAACAUUCCUCCCUGCUCUGGAGCCUGUAGAGCAGCAGCCCAUGACAGUAAAUGGUUUUUGUGUUCAGGAUGCUUUUCCCUGAGAGAAUUGUCAUCAGUCCUGGUUCAGAUGUUUGCUUGUCUGUGAUGAAGAUCAAAGAUGCCCCAGAGAGAAGCCCAAGGCGUCCUGGCCUAUGUACCGAUCUAUAUCAUCCUCCAGGAAGUAUAGGACGUCCUGACCUGAUCCGACCUGAUUCGUAUCCAAAGUUAUAGGACCACCGGAUAACCAGACCCGACCUGCACUGAUACCAUUUUAAUGACUUUUUUUCAUGAUCUUUCCUUUGUCUUGUAAAGAGAUAACUCACACACCUAUGCCUUAAAUUUAGCCCUACCCUCAAGCCAUUGCAGCUCUUCACUGCCCAUGGGUCCUGUCCCUAUUGUGGGGACUGGAAUUGGCAGCCCCAACAUAUGUCUCUUUGGCAUGAGGAUUAUUUUGAGCUAGUUACUUUUAAAAACAGCAGACAGAAAAAAAACUCUGAAAAGUAGAAUUUACUUACCCUUUGUUAAGAGACAUUUACAUUUGUAAAGGAAAUCUCCGUCUGUAAAGGUGUCUCCCUCUCUGUACCAGGAAGAAGGGGGGAUGACCUUAUCUCUAGAAACUCUCAUCAGUGUAGAAGGCAAGGACUCAAGUCUGCAUGACAACCUUACUCUUGUUUACUGUGAUUUUUUGGUAACCUCCCAUGAUUGAUUCCCCCCACCUCCAGCACCCUCCUUUGUCUUUACCAUAGGGUGGUAUUUAAGGUGGUGGCUUCCACCAUUUUGGUGAGUUGCUCAGUUUGCCUGAGCCUUUCCCAUAUAUACAUGUUAUAAAGCUUUGUUUAAUUUUCUCCUGUUAUUCUGUCUCACGUGAAUUUAAUUUGUUGUCUGGCCAGAAGGACCCAGAGUGGGUAAAGGAAAUGUCUUCCUCCCCUACACCGUGUUGCAGCUCUUCACUGCCUAUGGGUCCUGUCCCCAUGCUAGUCUCUGAAUAAAGGAGCACUACUACCAGAACUUGAGAGUCCAAGAAAUCUUUCUUUUGACUCUUCAGCUUGCCAAGUCCACAUCAGUCUAU